RNAcentral lists this long non-coding RNA (311 nucleotides) under Physcomitrium patens. RNAcentral describes it as "long non-coding RNA (PPAT_LNC012968)". Lineage: Eukaryota; Viridiplantae; Streptophyta; Bryopsida; Funariales; Funariaceae. The record is from RNAcentral.
AUUUUGUUCUCAAUGCUCUUCCUUCUACUUGAUUUGAUAAAUCUUUACGAACUAAGACCAAAUAUCUCAUUUGUAAUAACCCGAUUGGCAUAAUAACCAAAUCAAUAAUCCAUUUAAAAUGAAUAGCUAGAAGAUAUGUAGCAUAAAGUCCAUCUCAAUGUUGUAUAUUAGAAUACGCUUAACAAAUUUUACAUGACUCUAUAAAUAAGAACACAUCUCAAUACAUAUUUUUCCACCAAUAUCGUUCCUUAAGUUUAGCAAAAGUAGCCCAAAUUCCUCUAUGUCCUGCCCAUAAACUAUCAUGAAACCCC